Molecule: ribosomal RNA, 230 nt
Filed under: Vibrio albus
Lineage: Bacteria; Pseudomonadati; Pseudomonadota; Gammaproteobacteria; Vibrionales; Vibrionaceae
Description: Vibrio sp. E4404 partial 16S ribosomal RNA
Rfam family: Bacterial small subunit ribosomal RNA
Source: RNAcentral
AAAUUGAAGAGUUUGAUCAUGGCUCAGAUUGAACGCUGGCGGCAGGCCUAACACAUGCAAGUCGGGCGGAAACGACAUCAACAAUCCUUCGGGUGCGUUUAUGGGCGUCGAGCGGCGGACGGGUGAGUAAUGCUUAGGAAGUUGCCCUAAUGAGGGGGAUAACCAUUGGAAACGAUGGCUAAUACCGCAUAAUACCUUUGGGUCAAAGCAGGGGAUCUUCGGACCUUGCG